UGUUAAUGAUGAAUAAUUCCAAUACCAUCUUUCGGCUGAUAUUAUUUGAUGAUUCAUAUUUUCUGAUAGUAAUA
RNAcentral lists this small nucleolar RNA (74 nucleotides) under Cinara cedri. Lineage: Eukaryota; Metazoa; Arthropoda; Insecta; Hemiptera; Aphididae. The record is from RNAcentral.